RNAcentral lists this unclassified non-coding RNA (324 nucleotides) under fungal sp. RNAcentral's name for it is "partial internal transcribed spacer region". The stretch from base 1 to 46 matches the Rfam family "Eukaryotic small subunit ribosomal RNA", at positions 1786 to 1831 of the family's 1831-position model. The record is from RNAcentral. Lineage: Eukaryota; Fungi.
AAGUCGUAACAAGGUCUCCGUAGGUGAACCUGCGGAGGGAUCAUUAACACGUUUAUUUCACUAUAAACGUAUCUAUACCAAACAAAUAGAAACAAAAGUAGAGAUGGAAAUAGGAUAGUCAAAUAUCAUACUACAUCAAUACUUAGUUACUCUCCCUAUCUAUACUAAAUUCAUUUAGUGUAGUUAGGCUAUUUUCCAAUUAUUAACCCCUUUCCAACAAUGUCAUACUAAUCCAUGUCUUAUAUGUGAGUACUAUCAUAUUACUCUUACAUUGAUAUUUUAAUGUUAAAAGCACAACUCUUAGCAACGGAUAUCUUGGUUCUC